GCUAAAAAUACAACCUAUUUUUAUUCAAUAACACUUAAAUCUCAUAUUUAAACUAAAACAUUUUAUAAGUUUAGUAAAGGCGAUUGAAACAUUAAUUAGAGUUAUAAAAGUACCGUAAGGGAAUAAUGAAAUAAAAAUGAAAUAAAUAUUAAGCACUAAACAGUAAAGAUUAAUCCUUGUACCUUUUGCAUCAUGGUUUAAUUAGUCUAAUCAAGCAAAAUGAUUUAUAGUUUGCCUUCCCGAAACUAAGUGAGCUACUUCAAGGCAGUUGAUAGAACAAACCCGUCUCUGUUGCAAAAGAGUGGGAAGACCUUCAAGUAGUGGUGACAGACCUAACGAACUUAGUGAUAGCUGGUUUCUCAGGAAAAGGAUUUUAGUCCAACCUAAAGUUCCACAAAUUUAACAAAAUUAAUCUUAAACUUUAGAGUAAUUCAAUUAAGGGACAGCUUACUUGAAAAAGGAUACAACCUAAACUAAUGGGUAUUUACAACUAACAUAACCAAGUGGGCCUAAAAGCAGCCAUCUUCAAGACAGCCCUAAAGCUCUACUACACAAUUAAUUUAAUCUCUUAAAACAAAUUUAACCCUUUAAUAUUACCGAGAAAUUCUAUUCACUUAUAGAAUCUAUAAUGUUAAAACAAGUAACAAGAAGAAAACUCUUCUCUUAAAUAUAAAUAUAAACCAAUAAGGACCCACCGCUGGUAAUUACACAUCAAUGAAAUACGCUAACAACCCUACAAGAAAAAUCUAGCAAAUUAAAUGUUAACCUUACACAAGUAUAUUUUAAGAAAGAUUAAAAGAAAAAGAAGGAACUCGGCAAAUUCUUGCCCUCGCCUGUUUACCAAAAACAUCGCCUUUUGAUUAUUAUAAAAGGUCCAGCCUGCCCAGUGACUUGUUUAACGGCCGCGGUAUCCUGACCGCGCGAAGGUAGCAUAAUCAAUUGUUCUUUAAUUGGGGACUCGUAUGAACGGCAUCACGAGGGGUGUACUGUCUCCUUUUUCUAAUCAGUGAAACUAAUCUUCCCGUGAAAAAGCGGGAAUAAAACCAUAAGACGAGAAGACCCUAUGGAGCUUCAAACAAACAACAAGUACCUUAAAUUAUUUAACUUUUAAAAAAAAUCUAAAUAUUUAUUCUGUUACUUUGAUUUCUAGUUUUAGGUUGGGGUGACCGCGGAGUAAAAAUUAACCUCCAUGUUGAACGGGUAUAUUCCUGAAUCACGAGCCACAACUCUAAGUACCAAAAAAUUGACAUUAAUUGACCCAAGACUUUGAUCAACGAACCAAGUUACCCUAGGGAUAACAGCGCUAUCUAUUUCAAGAGACCACAUCAAAAAAUGGGCUUACGACCUCGAUGUUGGAUCAGGGUAUCCCAGUGGUGCAGCCGCUACUAAAGGUUCGUUUGUUC
RNAcentral lists this ribosomal RNA (1403 nucleotides) under Phyllodytes gyrinaethes. RNAcentral describes it as "partial 16S ribosomal RNA". It matches the Rfam family "Bacterial large subunit ribosomal RNA", at positions 127 to 2582 of the family's 2925-position model. Lineage: Eukaryota; Metazoa; Chordata; Amphibia; Anura; Hylidae. The record is from RNAcentral.